CUAAAGCCGGUCAGUUUUGGACGUGUCUAAUAGAUGGCGUGAAGGAAUUUUGUUUUGUCAAUUGUGGGCUUAUGGCGGCUCGUUGUCUAAAUCUAUCUUCAGCUACAGCUAUUUUCUUCGAAAGUUACAAAUGAACACAUAGGUAAAUUCGAGUGAUUUCGUUUGUAACUUGGCGGUGAUGUGUUCUAUUCCGUGUUCAUAUUGGAUAACCUUAGUGUUUCUCAUCAACUUACAGAAGGAAACGUAGCCUACCGUUGACUAUUUUGUUCAAAAUGUGCCAUCGAAAUGACACAGGAUUCAUUAUAAUUAUCUGCUGUAAGAACUGGACUUGCUAGAUCACCAACCCUAUCACAGACCAAUCUCUCAUUCAAUCUUCAAGAGAACCUUGACUAACUGUUUGGUGGUUUAAGGUGUUUGAAACUAUAGGUUUAAAUUUGCAUGACAAACCUUAAGAAAAGUUAUGUUGAAGAAAAAGGACUGACUGAUAGUCAACAAAGUACGCUACCUUGUUUGGUAACCUGUUGGCUGCUUGCCUGCUUCCCUUGAAUCUCCUUUUUUACUUCCUUAAGCUUGAUUUAAGGGUAACUCCUUUGCUACUUAUCAUCAUGGACUUCAUCCAUUGGUGAUGCUGAAAUUCAGGAGAAUGCUGUCAUUUAAGAGUCAAGACUGAUAAAUUGUGUAGUUGUUAGAUGAAACAAGUGCGUUAUUGGGCUCCCUCGCUAACCAUUGGCCGUGUAAUCUCCCUGGCUGCAGUCAAUUAAGGCAGUCUCCUCCUGUCUUGAUUGACUGAUGUGCGAGUUUCAAAAGCAGUUUAUCACCCAAAUGAGACAAAAGGAGUAAUAUCAGUUGUUUUAAAAUUAGCACAAAAACACAUUUGUUUUGAACCGGACGCUUUGUUUAUUGAAAUAACAGUUAUGGUUGAUUAUAUAAUUUGUUUUUAUUCAACUAAAUUUAUUUAAAGUUAAUAUUGUUAUAUUGU
Molecule: long non-coding RNA, 979 nt
Organism: Daphnia pulicaria
Lineage: Eukaryota; Metazoa; Arthropoda; Branchiopoda; Diplostraca; Daphniidae
Exons: 4
Source: RefSeq, a predicted model, not a curated record